Long non-coding RNA from Gadus chalcogrammus (walleye pollock), 1095 nucleotides. RefSeq lists it as uncharacterized. NCBI's taxonomy places the organism in Eukaryota, Metazoa, Chordata, Actinopteri, Gadiformes, Gadidae. The transcript is spliced from 5 exons. The record is from RefSeq and is a predicted model, not a curated record.
GGUUAAAUAUAAGUACACAUUAAGGCGAAUAAUCCACAUGAGAGAGGGGGUACUUUUAACAUGGAAACCAGCUCAAGGGGUAUACUGGUCAAAAAAGGUUGGGAACCACUGCUCUAGAUUGUUUAUUAUGAUUUAAUGAAGUGUUCCUAUGUGACGCUGAUGGGCCCUGGUUGCUGCUAAAUGCUUGUUGAAAGUGCAUUGUGCACUUUUUGUAUGUAGCUACAAAAUGAGGGUGGAUAUCACUUUAUAGUUUAUAGGCAUUAUAUACUAAUAAGAAUCAUUGACAAAUCACAUUCCCCUUUUACCACCACAGGACGCACCUCACCAGUAUCAGAGCAACAGCUGUGGGGUGUUUAUGCUGAUGUACGCAAUGUAUUCUACCCUCAAAAGCAAUAUGAUUUCAGUGAGGGGGACAUGCUCUCUAUCAGGAGGUGGUGGUGUGGACAGCUGUUGGAGACCUUUAUGCUUGAAAGCCCUGCAGAACUAGCUGGCUCCUUCUCACACUCUCCAUCUCCCCAUCUCAGUCACACCUUCCAAUCACUAAGCAGUGAAAGCCCUGCAGGACUAGCUGGCACACCAAGCUCACCCUCUCCAUCUCCCCAUCUCAGUCACACGCUCCAAUCUGGCAAAACAGAGGACAGGCCAUUCUUACCACCCGAAGUCCUUCAGCAAUUUGUACAAGAGACGCUGAGACUGGACAUGGCGAUGCUUGGCGUGUUCAACAGGGUUUCAAACACAUUCCGAGAACUAAUCAAGCCUCUCCAUCCUUCCAUAUAUAUAAAUGACAGUUUGGCAGGGGACAUUAAGCUUAAUAAAGACAAUCUCAUAUACAUAACGGUUAGAAAGAUUUACAACAAUGCAGGCUGUGGCAGUGGCCUUGCGCUACGCCUCAAAGGCUUCUCAAAAAAGAAGAAUUGGCCAAGCGCACCUCUGGUACUGAGGCACGUUGCAUAUGGCAGGUUUGUCAUAAAAGAUGUCUGCCUAGCAUAAUGUUCUUUUAUUACUCCUUUUUCGUUUUAUAUGGGACGUCAUUUUUUGCAAUCCCUUUCAUUUGUAAAUGUACAUACUACUGUAGUAAAUGUAUCUGCCCAGAAA